Molecule: long non-coding RNA, 900 nt
Organism: Tupaia belangeri chinensis (Chinese tree shrew)
Lineage: Eukaryota; Metazoa; Chordata; Mammalia; Scandentia; Tupaiidae
Exons: 2
Source: RefSeq, a predicted model, not a curated record
CUUGGGCGGGCGGGUGCAGGUGUCUCCUGGGAGUUAGAGCGUGCCCACUGCUUUCCUGUGUGCUAUGGAGGGAGGUAAUGUCGAGACGCGGGAGCCCGGGGCAGUGCGAGAGGCCCACCUCCCGCGCACACCUGCCAGCAUCCCUUGUCCUCUGACCCUCCCUUCCCAGAGGAACACGAACUCCUGCUGAGCCCAUGGGGUUGACCCUGCAGGCCCAGUGGCAGGCCCUCUGUCACCUCUCCGGCUCUUUCUCCCUGGGGGGCUAUACUGGCCUGGGGUCCUGCCUCUGGGACUUGGCCCACCCUUAGAGCACCCCUCUGUCUACCUGUCUGCACAGCCCAGGCCUCCUUUAAGACGUGUCACAGCUCAUUCCACCCUUCCCCCCAGGCCCACACUUGGGGGUGCAGGUGCAGCCUCCACUGAAUGGUGCUGAGUUCUCACGUCACAGGUGUUGGGUGACAGUGCUGUGGUCUGAAUGGUGGUGUGUGCUCUAACGUCACAGGUGUUGGGCGACAGUGCUGUGGUCUGAAUGGUGCUGAGUUCUCACGUCACAGGUGUUGGGUGACAGUGCUGUGGUCUGAAUGGUGCUGAGUUCUCACGUCACAGGUGUUGGGUGACAGUGCUGUGGUCUGAAUGGUGGUGUGUGCUCUAACGUCACAGGUGUUGGGCGACAGUGCUGUGGUCUGAAUGGUGUGUGUGUUCUCACGUCACAGGUGUUGGGUGACAGUGCUGUGGUCUGAAUGGUGUGUGUGUUCUAACGUCACAGGUGUUGGGCGACAGUGCUGUGGUCUGAAUGGUGCUGAGUUCUCACGUCACAGGUGUUGGGCGACAGUGCUGUGGUCUGAAUGGUGGUGUGUCCCGGUUCCUACCACAUUCUUACCCCGCGGGGUGUUGGUGUUG